This 253-nucleotide ribosomal RNA is filed under the name uncultured bacterium. Its description in RNAcentral is "partial 16S ribosomal RNA". It matches the Rfam family "Bacterial small subunit ribosomal RNA", at positions 524 to 776 of the family's 1533-position model. The record is from RNAcentral.
UACGUAGGGUGCAAGCGUUGUCCGGAAUUAUUGGGCGUAAAGAGCUCGUAGGCGGUUCGUCGCGUCGGCUGUGAAAUCCCGAGGCUCAACCUCGGGUCUGCAGUCGAUACGGGCGGACUGGAGUUCGGCAGGGGAGACUGGAAUUCCUGGUGUAGCGGUGAAAUGCGUAGAUAUCAGGAGGAAUACCGAUGGCGAAGGCAGGUCUCUGGGCUGACACUGACGCUCAUGCACGAAAGCGGGGGGAGCAAACAGG